GAGGAACUGUGGCUCAGUGGUUAACGCCUCUGACUUGCAGGCAGAAGAUCCCAGGUUCAAUCCCCCGCAUCUUCA
Molecule: transfer RNA, 75 nt
Filed under: Sphaerodactylus townsendi
Lineage: Eukaryota; Metazoa; Chordata; Lepidosauria; Squamata; Sphaerodactylidae
Description: tRNA-Ala
Source: RNAcentral